Molecule: transfer RNA, 73 nt
Filed under: Stenotrophomonas phage vB_SmaS-DLP_6
Lineage: Duplodnaviria; Heunggongvirae; Uroviricota; Caudoviricetes
Rfam family: tRNA
About the family: Transfer RNA (tRNA) molecules are approximately 80 nucleotides in length. Their secondary structure includes four short double-helical elements and three loops (D, anti-codon, and T loops).
Source: Rfam by way of RNAcentral
GGGUUUGAAGCUCAAGUGGUCGAGCAGCCGCCUUUUAAGCGGAAGGAAGUGAGUUCGAUCCUCACCAGACCCA